Molecule: ribosomal RNA, 497 nt
Filed under: uncultured bacterium
Lineage: Bacteria
Description: partial 16S ribosomal RNA
Rfam family: Bacterial small subunit ribosomal RNA
Source: RNAcentral
GAUGAACGCUGGCGGCGUGCCUAAUACAUGCCAGUCGAGCGAACAGACGAGGAGCUUGCUCCUCUGACGUUAGCGGCGGACGGGUGAGUAACACGUGGAUAACCUACCUAUAAGACUGGGAUAACUUCGGGAAACCGGAGCUAAUACCGGAUAAUAUAUUGAACCGCAUGGUUCAAUAGUGAAAGACGGUUUUGCUGUCACUUAUAGAUGGAUCCGCGCCGCAUUAGCUAGUUGGUAAGGUAACAGCUUACCAUGGCAACGAUGCGUAGCCGACCUGAGAGGGUGAUCGGCCACACUGGAACUGAGACACGGUCCAGACUCCUACGGGAGGCAGCAGUAGGGAAUCUUCCGCAAUGGGCGAAAGCCUGACGGAGCAACGCCGCGUGAGUGAUGAAGGUCUUCGGAUCGUAAAACUCUGUUAUUAGGGAAGAACAAAUGUGUAAGUAACUAUGCACGUCUUGACGGUACCUAAUCAGAAAGCCACGGCUAACUACGUG